UCUCUGGUAGCCUAGCAGAUAAGGACUCAGUAUUGUCAGUGCUGUGGCUCAGGUUCGAUCCCUGGCCUGGGAA
This 73-nucleotide transfer RNA is filed under the name Sus scrofa (pig). It matches the Rfam family "tRNA". From Rfam's summary of the family: Transfer RNA (tRNA) molecules are approximately 80 nucleotides in length. The record is from Rfam by way of RNAcentral. Lineage: Eukaryota; Metazoa; Chordata; Mammalia; Artiodactyla; Suidae.